UUUAUAAAGCUUAUCUUUUUUUAGAA
Molecule: transfer RNA, 26 nt
Filed under: Tarphius pomboi
Lineage: Eukaryota; Metazoa; Arthropoda; Insecta; Coleoptera; Zopheridae
Description: partial transfer RNA-Leu
Source: RNAcentral